This 984-nucleotide ribosomal RNA is filed under the name Hemiandrus pallitarsis. RNAcentral describes it as "SSU rRNA". It matches the Rfam family "Eukaryotic small subunit ribosomal RNA", at positions 472 to 1371 of the family's 1831-position model. Lineage: Eukaryota; Metazoa; Arthropoda; Insecta; Orthoptera; Anostostomatidae. The record is from RNAcentral. RNAcentral also lists the same sequence under 1 other name.
GAAAAAUAACGAUACGGGACUCAUCCGAGGCCCCGUAAUCGGAAUGAGUACACUUUAAAUCCUUUAACGAGUAUCCAUUGGAGGGCAAGUCUGGUGCCAGCAGCCGCGGUAAUUCCAGCUCCAAUAGCGUAUAUUAAAGUUGUUGCGGUUAAAAAGCUCGUAGUUGGACUUGUGUCCCACGCUGUCGGUUCACCGCCCGUCGGUGUCUAACUGACAUGUAUCGUGGGACGUCCUGCCGGUGGUGGCGAGUCGAAAGAUCGCGCCCCCGUGGUUCUGCCAUGGGUAGGUUGCGGUUCGUAGACGGACCCCGAUGAAAUCCUACCGCGGUGCUCUUAAACGAGUGUCGAGGUGGGCCGGCACGUUUACUUUGAACAAAUUAGAGUGCUUAAAGCAGGCCUGAUGCGCCUGAAUACUGUGUGCAUGGAAUAAUGGAAUAGGACCUCGGUUCUAUUUUGUUGGUUUUCGGAACCCGAGGUAAUGAUUAAUAGGGACAGUCGGGGGCAUUCGUAUUGCGACGUUAGAGGUGAAAUUCUUGGAUCGUCGCAAGACGGACCGAAGCGAAAGCAUUUGCCAAGUAUGUUUUCAUUAAUCAAGAACGAAAGUUAGAGGUUCGAAGGCGAUCAGAUACCGCCCUAGUUCUAACCAUAAACGAUGCCAGCUAGCGAUCCGCCGAAGUUCCUCCGAUGACUCGGCGGGCAGCUCCCGGGAAACCAAAGCUUUUGGGUUCCGGGGGAAGUAUGGUUGCAAAGCUGAAACUUAAAGGAAUUGACGGAAGGGCACCACCAGGAGUGGAGCCUGCGGCUUAAUUUGACUCAACACGGGAAACCUCACCAGGCCCGGACACUGGAAGGAUUGACAGAUUGAGAGCUCUUUCUUGAUUCAGUGGGUGGUGGUGCAUGGCCGUUCUUAGUUGGUGGAGCGAUUUGUCUGGUUAAUUCCGAUAACGAACGAGACUCUAGCCUGCUAAAUAGUCGCAUCCGGUAU